ACUAAUAUAAUUUAUUGAGAAUAUUGUGCUGAAGAUACAAAAGAGAUAGUAAUAUCUGUUAGUG
Molecule: transfer RNA, 64 nt
Filed under: Hapalocarcinus marsupialis
Lineage: Eukaryota; Metazoa; Arthropoda; Malacostraca; Decapoda; Cryptochiridae
Description: tRNA-Phe
Source: RNAcentral